CCUACGGGAGGCAGCAGUGGGGAAUUUUGGACAAUGGGCGCAAGCCUGAUCCAGCAAUGCCGCGUGAGUGAAGAAGGCCUUCGGGUUGUAAAGCUCUUUUGUCAGGGAAGAAACGGUGGGGGCUAAUAUCUCCUACUAAUGACGGUACCUGAAGAAUAAGCACCGGCUAACUACGUGCCAGCAGCCGCGGUAAUACGUAGGGUGCAAGCGUUAAUCGGAAUUACUGGGCGUAAAGCGUGCGCAGGCGGUUUUGUAAGUCUGUCGUGAAAGCCCCGGGCUCAACCUGGGAAUUGCGAUGGAGACUGCAAGGCUUGAAUCUGGCAGAGGGGGGUAGAAUUCCACGUGUAGCAGUGAAAUGCGUAGAGAUGUGGAGGAACACCGAUGGCGAAGGCAGCCCCCUGGGUCAAGAUUGACGCUCAUGCACGAAAGCGUGGGGAGCAAACAGGAUUAGAUACCCUGGUAGUCCACGCCCUAAACGAUGUCUACUAGUUGUCGGGUUUUAAUUAACUUGGUAACGCAGCUAACGCGUGAAGUAGACCGCCGUGGGGAAGUACGGUCGCAAGAUUAAAACUCAAAUAGAGUAGUAGCGUGAGAGNGACGACGACGACGACGAGGAGGAGG
This 621-nucleotide ribosomal RNA is filed under the name uncultured bacterium. RNAcentral's name for it is "bacterial SSU rRNA". It matches the Rfam family "Bacterial small subunit ribosomal RNA", at positions 338 to 944 of the family's 1533-position model. The record is from RNAcentral.